CUCCGCAGUUUCCCUCGGGAUAGCUGGCGCUCUGGCAGACGCACAAAAGACGCACUUUGAUCCAUCCGGUCAAGCGAAUCAUUAGAGGUCUUGGGGCAGAAAGGAUCUCAACGUAGUCUCAAACUUUCUUUCAAUGGGUCAGAAGCCCGGCUCGCUGGCGUGGAGCCGGGCGUGGAAUGCGAGUGCCUAGCGGGCCACUUUUGGCAAGCAGAACUGGCGCUGCGGGGUGAACCGAACGCCUGCUUAAGGCGCCCGAUGCCGACGCUCAUCAGACCCCAGAAAAGGUGUUGGUUGAUAGCGACAGCAGGACGGGGGUCAUGGAAGUCGGAAUCCGCUAACGAGUGUGUAACAACUCACCUGUGGAAUCAACGAGCCCUGAAAACGGAUGGCGCCGGUGCCGCGGGCCCAUACCCGGCUGUAGUUCUUCCAAGGAG
Non-coding RNA from Myotis lucifugus (little brown bat), 434 nucleotides. The record is from Rfam. NCBI's taxonomy places the organism in Eukaryota, Metazoa, Chordata, Mammalia, Chiroptera, Vespertilionidae.